Molecule: ribosomal RNA, 253 nt
Filed under: uncultured bacterium
Lineage: Bacteria
Description: partial 16S ribosomal RNA
Rfam family: Bacterial small subunit ribosomal RNA
Source: RNAcentral
UACGUAGGUGGCAAGCGUUGUCCGGAUUUACUGGGCGUAAAGAGCGCGCAGGCGGUCGAAUAAGUCGAAUGUGAAAGCCCCCGGCUUAACUGGGGAGGGUCAUUCGAUACUGCUCGACUUGAAGGCAGGAGAGGGUAGUGGAAUUCCUGGUGUAGCGGUGAAAUGCGCAGAUAUCAGGAGGAACACCGAUGGCGAAGGCAGCUCGCUGGGACGGUACUGACGCUGAGGCGCGAAAGCGUGGGGAGCAAACAGG